UGGGCGUUCCUAAACUUGCAAAGUCGAGCGAACUGAUUAGAAGCUUGCUUCUAUGACGUUAGCGGCGGACGCGCCUGAGUAACACGUGGGCAACCUGCCUGUAAGACUGGGAUAACUUCGGGAAACCGAAGCUAAUACCGGAUAGGAUCUUCUCCUUCAUGGGAGAUGAUUGAAAGAUGGUUUCGGCUAUCACUUACAGAUGGGCCCGCGGUGCAUUAGCUAGUUGGUGAGGUAACGGCUCACCAAGGCAACGAUGCAUAGCCGACCUGAGAGGGUGAUCGGCCACACUGGGACUGAGACACGGCCCAGACUCCUACGGGAGGCAGCAGUAGGGAAUCUUCCGCAAUGGACGAAAGUCUGACGGAGCAACGCCGCGUGAGUGAUGAAGGCUUUCGGGUCGUAAAACUCUGUUGUUAGGGAAGAACAAGUACAAGAGUAACUGCUUGUACCUUGACGGUACCUAACCAGAAAGCCACGGCUAACUACGUGCCAGCAGCCGCGGUAAUACGUAGGUGGCAAAGCGUUAUCCGGAAUUAUUGGGCGUAAAAGCGCGCGCAGGCGGUUUCUUAAGUCUGAUGUGAAAGCCCACGGGCUCAACCGUGGGAGGGUCAUUGGAAACUGGGGAACUUUGAGUGCAGAAGAGAAAAAGCGGAAUUCCACGUGUAGCGGGUGAAAUGCGUAGAGAUGUGGAGGAACAACCAGUGGCGAAAGGCGGCUUUUA
RNAcentral lists this ribosomal RNA (721 nucleotides) under Priestia megaterium. RNAcentral's name for it is "bacterial SSU rRNA". It matches the Rfam family "Bacterial small subunit ribosomal RNA", at positions 37 to 730 of the family's 1533-position model. Lineage: Bacteria; Bacillati; Bacillota; Bacilli; Caryophanales; Bacillaceae. The record is from RNAcentral.